GGGGGCGUAAAGGCUUCGACGUGUUUGGUGAACGCGAGGUAGCGUGCCGAGGCCCGGGCCUCGCAAAAACCCGGAAUCAACACAAUUGCCAACAAUCACAUGGCAAUGGCUGCCUGAGCUUUCUCACAGCCCGUCUCCUGGCCCGCCCGCCCAAGGCAGGCCCUGCAGGCGUCGACAAGUUGGGCUGGCCCGGGGCGAUGCUGUCGCGCCGCGGGCGAGACUCUCGACGGCUAGUCGGGGAUUCGGCGGGUCGCUGACCGAUCACCCGAUGAAGCGCAACAGCGAACUACGCACGUAGAAGCUUCGCCGGACCCACUCGCGGACGCGGGUUCGACUCCCGCCGCCUCCAUCC
This 352-nucleotide transfer-messenger RNA is filed under the name Longimicrobiales. RNAcentral's name for it is "BD2-11 sp002238605 Standard tmRNA". It matches the Rfam family "transfer-messenger RNA". Rfam says of the family: Bacterial tmRNA, also known as 10Sa RNA or SsrA, is named for its dual tRNA and mRNA-like properties. Its role is to liberate the mRNA from a stalled ribosome. RNAcentral also lists the same sequence under 1 other name. The record is from RNAcentral. Lineage: Bacteria; Pseudomonadati; Gemmatimonadota; Longimicrobiia.